UACGUAGGGUGCGAGCGUUGUCCGGAAUUAUUGGGCGUAAGGAGCUUGUAGGCGGUCUGUCGCGUCUGCUGUGAAAAUCCGGGGCUCAACCCCGGACUUGCAGUGGGUACGGGCAGACUAGAGUGUGGUAGGGGAGACUGGAAUUCCUGGUGUAGCGGUGAAAUGCGCAGAUAUCAGGAGGAACACCGAUGGCGAAGGCAGGUCUCUGGGCCACUACUGACGCUGAGAAGCGAAAGCAUGGGGAGCGAACAGG
RNAcentral lists this ribosomal RNA (253 nucleotides) under uncultured bacterium. RNAcentral's name for it is "partial 16S ribosomal RNA". It matches the Rfam family "Bacterial small subunit ribosomal RNA", at positions 524 to 776 of the family's 1533-position model. The record is from RNAcentral.